RNAcentral lists this ribosomal RNA (468 nucleotides) under uncultured bacterium. RNAcentral's name for it is "partial 16S ribosomal RNA". It matches the Rfam family "Bacterial small subunit ribosomal RNA", at positions 28 to 523 of the family's 1533-position model. The record is from RNAcentral.
GAUGAACGCUGGCGGCGUGCCUAACACAUGCAAGCCGAGCGAUUCUCUUCGGAGAAGAGCGGCGGACGGGUGAGUAACGCGUGGGUAACCUGCCCUGUACACACGGAUAACAUACCGAAAGGUAUGCUAAUACGAGAUAAUCUGCUUUUAUCGCAUGGUAGAAGUAUGAAAGCCCCGGCGGUACAGGAGGGACCCGCGUCUGAUUAGCUAGUUGGUAAGGUAACGGCUUACCAAGGCGACGAUCAGUAGCCGACCUGAGAGGGUGAUCGGGAACACUGGAACUGAGACACGGUCCAAACUCCUACGGGAGGCAGCAGUGGGGGAUAUUGCACAAUGGGCGAAAGCCUGAUGCAGCAACGCCGCGUGAGCGAUGAAGGCCUUCGGGUCGUAAAGCUCUGUCCUCAAGGAAGAUAAUGACGGUACUUGAGGAGGAAGCCCCGGCUAACUACGUGCCAGCCGCCGCGGUAA